This 2311-nucleotide long non-coding RNA is filed under the name Pan troglodytes (chimpanzee). RNAcentral's name for it is "long non-coding RNA NONPTRT012925". Lineage: Eukaryota; Metazoa; Chordata; Mammalia; Primates; Hominidae. The record is from RNAcentral.
GCACCUGAAAGAACUGGAGGAAAAGCAUUCAUUCUGUGGCCUUGAUGACUUCAGUGAGCCAAGAACUCGGGAUAGAAAAAGAAUUUAUGGAAUAAACUGAGUCCCUACGGCAACCCCAACCCCACUCAAACCAAAUUCAACAGCGAAACAAGCUACUCAAAGUCCAGAGACUGCAAACAGAAUUUAUGUAUAUUUGACAAUAGCUUUAAGGGGAAGCCUUUGGACGCACGGCUGGGUCCUGGCCAGCCCAAGCCGUAAGGACUCUGCAGGGACGAUGGGGAUUUUGUCAAACUUGGAACCACAUCCAUGUCCCAGCUCUGGCACCUUGAAGGCCCAAGGGGGCAGAGACCUGAAUGCCAGGAAACUAAGUGCAAUUACCAGAAACCAAGGGAUCGGCAGCCACCGCACUGUCUGGGGACAGGCCCGAGUCCUCGUCCCCACGCCAGAUGCCUCCCCAGUCCGCAGUGUGCAUGUCCAGCUGGACCCGGGUGGGUGCCGUCUCUGCCCUAUGUACAUAAAUCUCCACGAACCAUGCUGUGUUCGUCCUGGAGUUUGUCUGCCGGAGCGACUUGCAAGUGUCCUUGUAAUGUGAACCCCAGUUCAAGUCCUGGUCAGCAAAACCUCUGAAUCUGUGCACAGCUGGAUGUAGCAGCUGGCAGCCAGAGAGAGAGGGCAGGACCCUGAUGAGGGGCUGGAGCCUUGCCCAUCAUGGAGAAGCCGACCUCAGGGACCCCAGAUUUCUGAAGGGAGGCCGAGGGCUCUGUCACUCUUGUGGGUGUGACACGGCAAAAGUCCCAGAGCAUGACUGUCCCUGGGACCAGGUGGACUGAGGACUGAUAGAGCAGACAUGACCACCAACCAGGCCACACUUGGGCCUGCAUUGCACCUUGAUCGUAAUUUGCAAGGGGCUGCCAAGGAAGAGAUGCUGAAGCACCUGCAGGAACUAGGUUAUUUCCAUAGUGGUCCUGAGACCAGGUCCUGCUCUCACCACCGCGGGGAGGAAGUGAGAUCUUCCUGCCUUGGGAGGCCACCCCUGGAUGGAGCCGGGAGAGCUGUCAGGGUGUUGGAGGCCUCGCUGGAGAGUGGAUGGAGUGGAGCAGCCACAGAGAGCUGGACGCCAGCUGGGGAUGGUCAGCCCAGGAGGAAAUUCCCCAAGUUCCUUUCUGAUGAUGUUCCUGUUGUUAUUCUAGGCUGGGUGGGGUGGAGUCAUCUCCAGAAGAAGCCACCUGCUCACAGGAUGCCUCUCCCAAACUUCUGCGCGGGAAGACGUUUGGAAUUAGAAUAGAUGAAGUGGAGUAGAAGACCGAAUGUGACGAGGAGGCUGGCUGUGUCUGCAUGGGAAGAGCCGGCUGAAGGCCAGGCCGGGCCAUCCUCAGCUGGCUGCAGGUGGACGGGCUCAGGCCCUGCUCAUCAGGUAGAAGGAACGGUUCUGUGGUCUCUGGUGAGGAGGACCUUUGGACAAAAGGGAAAGGACUGAAAUGUAGGCAGUUGAGGGAACUCAUGGGGUGAGGGCAACAGAGGAGCUAGAAGUUCUCAGAAGGCCACAUCCAUGGAUGGAGAAGGACACGGUGCCCUGCACAGAAGGGGCCCUGCCAGCCGGGGAGGGCUGCUCACACCACAUCCCAGGAUCCAUCUCUAAGCAGACAUGCACCGGGAUGGCCCAGUAUUACCCAUUCUCUUUUGAAAUCAAAACCCCAAAGCACCCACUGGCUCAGCCUCUGUGACUUACCAACACCUGGUGAUGAAAUAUGAACAAACUGAUGUCGGUUGAAAACACAGGCAUCCUAGCAGCCCAGGGGCGAUGGGAGUGUGGGGUCGCACAGUGAGUGAAAACAAAGGCACGCUUACUCUUUCCAGCCGGGAAGCACAGGAGGCGUUGCUGUGCUAGCUUCUGCGGGCAGAAGUCUAGGGGCACCCAUGGGUCUCUGGAAUGUCGGUCCAGCACCCUUGCAGCUGCUGCAGGAGUGCGGUCCUCAUACCUGCUUGUCCCCGUCCUUCAGUGGGUGAAGGGCAGUGUCUGUGUCUGCUGGGCUCUCCCACUCAGAUCAUGUGACCAAAAUGGCCUUGGCUUUGAAGUCAGACCCAUUUGUCCCUGCCAGCCCGGCCUCUUCCUGCUGUAUUGCACUGGCAAUGUCCUUGCCGCUCUGAGGAAUGGUAGUGAUAGUUCCCAUGCGUGGCCUUGGGAGAGGUCUGAGCUGGACGGUUAGACCCGCAGGCUCCCGCAGGCCACCGUGGCUGCUGGUGGGAGACAUAGCAUCUGCUGUUCUCUCCUUGGGAGCUGUCCUCGGAGGAGUCCAUAUGGCCGGCCCGG